UGAGAUGUCCCCUAUAAGACCGUGUCUGGGACAUGGCAUGGGCACCAACAUGAGAACAUCCCAUGUAAGACCAUGUCUGGGACAUGGCUUUGGCAUGUUAUUAUCAGAAGAGACCCGAGUAUCCUUAUUAUUCCAAUGUAGCUCAACGGGCUUGUAAACGAAUCAUGUUCAUGAAAGUUCAGUUUAAAGCAUAAAUGGCAAGCUCAGGUAAGUUGUAAGACUUAAGAACUUAUUAUACUAUCAAUUGAUGUUCAACGAUGCAGCAAGAGUUGAGUAAGUUAUG
RNAcentral lists this long non-coding RNA (283 nucleotides) under Gossypium raimondii (Peruvian cotton). Its description in RNAcentral is "long non-coding RNA (GRAI_LNC004046)". Lineage: Eukaryota; Viridiplantae; Streptophyta; Magnoliopsida; Malvales; Malvaceae. The record is from RNAcentral.